CUCUCUAAAUUAUUAAAAAAACUAAGACCAAAACAAGGGAAAUGUGUGAU
RNAcentral lists this unclassified non-coding RNA (50 nucleotides) under Candidatus Liberibacter africanus subsp. capensis. Its description in RNAcentral is "intergenic spacer". The record is from RNAcentral. Lineage: Bacteria; Pseudomonadati; Pseudomonadota; Alphaproteobacteria; Hyphomicrobiales; Rhizobiaceae.